This 514-nucleotide ribosomal RNA is filed under the name Rhodococcus sp. IO4. RNAcentral's name for it is "bacterial SSU rRNA". It matches the Rfam family "Bacterial small subunit ribosomal RNA", at positions 335 to 859 of the family's 1533-position model. Lineage: Bacteria; Bacillati; Actinomycetota; Actinomycetes; Mycobacteriales; Nocardiaceae. The record is from RNAcentral.
ACUCCCUCGGGAGGCAGCAGUGGGGAAUAUUGCACAAUGGGCGCAAGCCUGAUGCAGCGACGCCGCGUGAGGGAUGACGGCCUUCGGGUUGUAAACCUCUUUCACCCAUGACGAAGCGCAAGUGACGGUAGUGGGAGAAGAAGCACCGGCCAACUACGUGCCAGCAGCCGCGGUAAUACGUAGGGUGCGAGCGUUGUCCGGAAUUACUGGGCGUAAAGAGCUCGUAGGCGGUUUGUCGCGUCGUCUGUGAAAUCCCGCAGCUCAACUGCGGGCUUGCAGGCGAUACGGGCAGACUCGAGUACUGCAGGGGAGACUGGAAUUCCUGGUGUAGCGGUGAAAUGCGCAGAUAUCAGGAGGAACACCGGUGGCGAAGGCGGGUCUCUGGGCAGUAACUGACGCUGAGGAGCGAAAGCGUGGGUAGCGAACAGGAUUAGAUACCCUGGUAGUCCACGCCGUAAACGGUGGGCGCUAGGUGUGGGUUUCCUUCCACGGGAUCCGUGCCGUAGCCAACGCA